This 77-nucleotide transfer RNA is filed under the name Lachnospiraceae bacterium. Its description in RNAcentral is "tRNA-Met". It matches the Rfam family "tRNA". From Rfam's summary of the family: Transfer RNA (tRNA) molecules are approximately 80 nucleotides in length. Their secondary structure includes four short double-helical elements and three loops (D, anti-codon, and T loops). The record is from RNAcentral. Lineage: Bacteria; Bacillati; Bacillota; Clostridia; Lachnospirales; Lachnospiraceae.
GGACCCUUAGCUCAGUUGGUUAGAGCAUCCGGCUCAUAACCGGACGGUCCUGGGUUCGAGUCCCCGAGGGUCCACUA